Molecule: ribosomal RNA, 425 nt
Filed under: Elysia cf. tomentosa 1 JV-2013
Lineage: Eukaryota; Metazoa; Mollusca; Gastropoda; Plakobranchidae
Description: partial 16S ribosomal RNA
Rfam family: Bacterial large subunit ribosomal RNA
Source: RNAcentral
AGCCUUAAGUUUUUAUUUAAGGUAAUGCCUGCCCAGUGCUAUGAUUUGUAAAUGGCCGCAGUACCUUGACUGUGCUAAGGUAGCAUAAUCAGUUGGCUUUUAAAUGGAGUCGGGAAUGAAUGGAUUUAUAGGGUGGAACUGUCUCUACUAUAUUCUAUUGAACUUAAUUAUUUAGGUGAAAAUACCUAAUCUUUGUUAAAAGACGAGAAGACCCUAGGAGUUUUCACUAGAUACAAUUUUGUAUUGUUAAAUGUUUUUGUUGGGGCGACAUAUGAACAAAAUAAAAACUUCAUUAAUAUUAUAUGCCGACUUAUUGUAUGUGUAAUUAAACUACCCUAGGGAUAACAGCGUUAUUCUUUAUAGAGCUUGCGACCUCGAUGUUGGACUAGGAAUUGGGUUGGCUAGCCGCCAAUUUUUAUUGUUCU